This is a long non-coding RNA of Beta vulgaris subsp. vulgaris (sugar beet), 493 nucleotides long. RefSeq lists it as uncharacterized. NCBI's taxonomy places the organism in Eukaryota, Viridiplantae, Streptophyta, Magnoliopsida, Caryophyllales, Amaranthaceae. The record is from RefSeq and is a predicted model, not a curated record. The transcript has 3 exons.
ACCCUCUAGUCGACCAAAUUAUCAACCCUAACCCACGCCUCUCUCUUCCUCACUCUCAUCUCACGUUUCUCUCUCUUCCUCGCUCUCAUCUCACAUUUUGGUGCUCUCUCUUUCUUGUAGAUCUCACGAAAUCAGUAUGCAAUAGCAAUGUUGGGCUAUGGUCCUGAAGAUAAAAGUGCUGUUAUGGAGUUGACAUAUCCAUGCCAUUCUUACUUCUGUUCUGAAAUUCAGGUAUUCAUGCCAUGCACUUAAAUAAGUACCAAGUUUUCAGGGGUUAUGAGAUUUGCGUUUGAGUUCCAGAUUUGAAGUUGGUUUCGAUCCAGAUACCAGAUUUAAAGUCCAUUUUGUUUCAGAUUUUUGUUGUGGAGUUUAGUGUACAUGUAAUUAUAUGAGAUAUGUAUUAGAUUUUGUUCCAAGUAUACUAGAAUUUAGUUCUAGAAUUAUUUUUUCACUUGUAUCUACAUUUAUUAUCAAUAAUAAUUGAAUUGAUUAA